AACGUAGGACGCAAGCGUUAUCCGGAGUUACUGGGCGUAAAGCGCGGGCAGGCGGCUCGAAACGUCUGAUGUGAAAUUUCCUCGCUCAACGGGGAGAGGCCAUUGGAAACGGUCGAGCUGGAGGGCAGUAGAGGUAGGCGGAAUUCCGGGUGGAGUGGUGAAAUGCGUAGAGAUCCGGAGGAACACCAGAGGCGAAGGCGGCCUACUGGGCUGCACCUGACGCUGAGCCGCGAAAGCCAGGGGAGCGAACGGG
RNAcentral lists this ribosomal RNA (253 nucleotides) under uncultured bacterium. RNAcentral's name for it is "partial 16S ribosomal RNA". It matches the Rfam family "Bacterial small subunit ribosomal RNA", at positions 524 to 776 of the family's 1533-position model. The record is from RNAcentral.